UGCAGCAACGCCGCGUGAGGGAUGACGGCCUAUCGGGUUGUAAACCUCUUUUAGUAGGGAAGAAGCGAAAGUGACGGUACCUGCAGAAAAAGCACCGGCUAACUACGUGCCAGCAGCCGCGGUAAUACGUAGGGUGCAAGCGUUGUCCGGAAUUAUUGGGCGUAAAGAGCUCGUAGGCGGUUUGUCGCGUCUGCUGUGAAAUCCCGAGGCUCAACCUCGGGCUUGCAGUGGGUACGGGCAGACUAGAGUGCGGUAGGGGAGAUUGGAAUUCCUGGUGUAGCGGUGGAAUGCGCAGAUAUCAGGAGGAACACCGAUGGCGAAGGCAGAUCUCUGGGCCGUAACUGACGCUGAGGAGCGAAAGCAUGGGGAGCGAACAGGAUUAGAUACCCUGGUAGUCCAUGCCGUAAACGUUGGGCGCUAGAUGUAGGGACCUUUCCACGGUUUCUGUGUCGUAGCUAACGCAUUAAGCGCCCCGCCUGGGGAGUACGGCCGCAAGGCUAAAACUCAAAGGAAUUGACGGGGGCCCGCACAAGCGGCGGAGCAUGCGGAUUAAUUCGAUGCAACGCGAAGAACCUUACCAAGGCUUGACAUACACCGGAAACGGCCAGAGAUGGUCGCCCCCUUGUG
This 627-nucleotide ribosomal RNA is filed under the name Curtobacterium sp. Ri3Ps_5358. RNAcentral describes it as "bacterial SSU rRNA". It matches the Rfam family "Bacterial small subunit ribosomal RNA", at positions 387 to 1022 of the family's 1533-position model. The record is from RNAcentral. Lineage: Bacteria; Bacillati; Actinomycetota; Actinomycetes; Micrococcales; Microbacteriaceae.